UGGGGAAUAUUGGACAAUGGGCGCAAGCCUGAUCCAGCAAUGCCGCGUGUGUGAAGAAGGUCUUCGGAUUGUAAAGCACCUUUGGCAGGGACGAUGAUGACGGUACCUGCAGAAUAAGCCCCGGCUAACUUCGUGCCAGCAGCCGCGGUAAUACGAAGGGGGCUAGCGUUGCUCGGAAUGACUGGGCGUAAAGGGCGCGUAGGCGGCAUGUACAGUCAGAAGUGAAAUUCCUGGGCUCAACCUGGGGACUGCUUUUGAUACGUGCAAGCUAGAGUGAGGAAGAGGGUUGUGGAAUUUCCAGUGUAGAGGUGAAAUUCGUAGAUAUUGGAAAGAACACCGGUGGCGAAGGCGGCAACCUGGUCCUUAACUGACGCUGAGGCGCGAAAGCGUGGGGAGCAAACAGGAUUAGAUACCCCCGUAGUCCCUGAGCGGGCUGGCAAGGCGC
This 445-nucleotide ribosomal RNA is filed under the name uncultured bacterium. RNAcentral's name for it is "bacterial SSU rRNA". It matches the Rfam family "Bacterial small subunit ribosomal RNA", at positions 355 to 823 of the family's 1533-position model. The record is from RNAcentral.